This 253-nucleotide ribosomal RNA is filed under the name uncultured bacterium. Its description in RNAcentral is "partial 16S ribosomal RNA". It matches the Rfam family "Bacterial small subunit ribosomal RNA", at positions 524 to 776 of the family's 1533-position model. The record is from RNAcentral.
UACGUAGGGUGCGAGCGUUACUCGGAAUUACUGGGCGUAAAGCGUGCGCAGGCGGUUUUGUACGCCAAAUGUGAAAUCCCCGGGCUUAACCUGGGAACUGCAUUUGUGACUGGCGGGCUAGAGUAUGGCAGAGGGGGGUAGAAUUCCACGUGUAGCAGUGAAAUGCGUAGAGAUGUGGAGGAAUACCGAUGGCGAAGGCAGCCCCCUGGGCCAAUACUGACGCUCAUGCACGAAAGCGUGGGGAGCAAACAGG